This is a long non-coding RNA of Alosa sapidissima (American shad), 352 nucleotides long. RefSeq lists it as uncharacterized. The transcript has 3 exons. Lineage: Eukaryota; Metazoa; Chordata; Actinopteri; Clupeiformes; Clupeidae. The record is from RefSeq and is a predicted model, not a curated record.
CACUACAACACACUACAAUACAUUACAACACACUACAACUGACUACAACACACUACAACACACUACAAUACACUACAACACACUACAAUACACUACAACACACUACUACAACACACUACAACUGCAUUGGACUGCACUGGACUGCAUUGUUCUUCAGACAGUAUAACUGUUGUUUUCUGUCCCAUAACUUACUGCAGUAGUUAUUUUUGUGAGGGAACGGACAAUGGUGCAAGCCUGCGAUCCAGGCUAGCAGUGAAUGCUAUUGGUGAAAGCUAGCUGUGAAUGCUAUUGGUAAAGGUUAGCACACACACACACACACAGUGAGACACACACACACACACACACACACACA